UACACUCCUACGGGAGGCAGCAGUGGGGAAUUUUACGCAAUGGGGGAAACCCUGACGUAGCGACACCGCGUGAGCGAAGAAGCCCUUUGGGGUGUAAAGCUCUGUCAGCUGGAACGAAAACAAUGACGGUACCAGCAGAGGAAGCAUCGGCUAACUACGUGCCAGCAGCCGCGGUAAGACGUAGGAUGCGAGCGUUGUCCGGAUUUAUUGGGCGUAAAGAGUUCGUAGGUGGUUUGUUAAGUUUGGUGUUAAAGAUCGGGGCUCAACCCUGGGACUGCACUGAAUACUGGCAGACUCGAGUGUGGUAGAGGCUAGUGGAAUUCCCAGUGUAGCGGUGAAAUGCGUAGAUAUUGGGAAGAACACCGGUGGCGUAGGCGACUAGCUGGGCCAUAACUGACGCUGAGGAACGAAAGCCAGGGGAGCGAAUGGGAUUAGAAACCCGGGUAGUCCCA
This 452-nucleotide ribosomal RNA is filed under the name uncultured organism. RNAcentral describes it as "partial 16S ribosomal RNA". It matches the Rfam family "Bacterial small subunit ribosomal RNA", at positions 332 to 798 of the family's 1533-position model. The record is from RNAcentral.